AGGAGACUGGAGCCCCUCAGUGAAGAUGGGAGUUCAGAUGUAGAUGAUCAGAGUCCAGGAAAAAGCUUGGUGAAGAGGCCCUCACAGAAGAAGAAAAGACGUAAAAAGUCCACGACAGUGGAAGCAAUGGAUGGAGUUUCUGACCUCUCGUCCUGCAGUGACGAGGGGAGUUUAAAUAUAGAUGGUGAGUUAAAUAACGUUUAUUAUGAAAUUCACAAAAACUCCUGCCUUUUUACAAAGGACCCUGCUAGCUUUUUCUCAAAGUUAGUAGAGUACUA
Long non-coding RNA from Sander lucioperca (pikeperch), 278 nucleotides. RefSeq lists it as uncharacterized. The record is from RefSeq and is a predicted model, not a curated record. The transcript has 3 exons. Lineage: Eukaryota; Metazoa; Chordata; Actinopteri; Perciformes; Percidae.